RNAcentral lists this transfer RNA (75 nucleotides) under Trichonephila inaurata madagascariensis. RNAcentral's name for it is "tRNA-Arg". It matches the Rfam family "tRNA". Rfam says of the family: Transfer RNA (tRNA) molecules are approximately 80 nucleotides in length. The record is from RNAcentral. Lineage: Eukaryota; Metazoa; Arthropoda; Arachnida; Araneae; Nephilidae.
GUUCCUGUAGCGCAAUGGAUAGCGCGUUGGACUUCUAAUCCAAAAGUCGUGGGUUCGAAUCCUACUUGGAUUGCA